AAAACUUUUCGCUAAUAGAAGAGCCUAUGUAGGAUUAGGUAGUUGGUAUUUUGGGUAAAAGCCUACCAAGCCUAAGAUCCUUAGCUGUUCUGAGAGGUUGAACAGCCACACUGGGACUGAGACAAGGCCCAGGCUCCAUUUGGAGCCAGCAGUGAGGAAUUUUGGACAAUGAGCGAAAGCUUGAUCCAGCAAUACUACAUGAGUGAAGAAGGCUUUCAAGUUGUAACACUCUUUGGUUGAGGAGGAUAAUGACAGUACUCAACAAAAUAGCCCCGGCUAACUUCGUGCCAGCAGCCGCGGUAAGACGAAGGGGGCGAGCGUUAUCCGGAAUGACUGGGCGUAAAGGGUCCGUAGGCAGCAUUUUUUGUUGGAAGUUAAAUAAAAAAGCUUAACUUUUUUCCGCUUCUAAAACGUAAAUGCUUUGAGUUUGAUAGAAGAUAGCAGAAUUUCACAAGGAGGGGUGAUAUCCAGAGAUCUGUGAAGGAAUAUCAGAUGCGAAGGCGGCUAUCUAGAUCAACACUGACGUUGAGGGACGAAAGCAUGGGGAGCAAACAGGAUUAGAUACCCUGGUAGUCCAUGCCCUAAAAGAUGAGUGUUCGUGCUUAGAGAACUUUAGGCACUUAGUUAACACGUUAAACACUCCGCCUGGGGAGUACGAUCGCAAGGUUGGAACUCAAAGGAAUUGACGGGGGCCUAUACAAGUGGUGGAGCAUGUGGUUUAAUGCGAUAAUACGCGCGAAACCUUACCAGUUCUUGACAUAAAAAAGAAAAAGUUUGAAAAAGCAAUUUUAAAGAUUUUUACAGGUGCUGCAUGGCUGUCGUAAGCUCGUGUCGUGAGAUGUUAGGUUAACUCCUUUUAACGGGCGAAACCCCUUUUUUUCGUUGC
RNAcentral lists this ribosomal RNA (886 nucleotides) under uncultured organism. RNAcentral describes it as "bacterial SSU rRNA". It matches the Rfam family "Bacterial small subunit ribosomal RNA", at positions 207 to 1118 of the family's 1533-position model. The record is from RNAcentral.